GGCUCAGGAUGAACGCUAGCGAUAGGCCUAACACAUGCAAGUCGAGGGGCAGCAUAGAGUAGCAAUACUUGAUGGCGACCGGCGCACGGGUGAGUAACACGUAUGCAACCUACCUACAUCAGGGGAAUAACCCGGAGAAAUUCGGACUAAUACCGCAUAAUACAGGGAUGCCGCAUGGUAAUAUUUGUUAAAGAUUUAUCGGAUGUAGAUGGGCAUGCGUUCCAUUAGCUAGUUGGUAAGGUAACGGCUUACCAAGGCAACGAUGGAUAGGGGAACUGAGAGGUUUGUCCCCCACACUGGAACUGAGACACGGACCAGACUCCUACGGGAGGCAGCAGUGAGGAAUAUUGGUCAAUGGACGAGAGUCUGAACCAGCCAAAUCGCGUGAAGGAAAGACUGCCCUACGGGUUGUAAACUUCUUUUGUACAGGAAUAAAAGACAUUACGUGUAGUGUAUUGCAUGUACUGUACGAAUAAGCAUCGGCUAACUCCGUGCCAGCAGCCGC
Molecule: ribosomal RNA, 505 nt
Filed under: uncultured bacterium
Lineage: Bacteria
Description: bacterial SSU rRNA
Rfam family: Bacterial small subunit ribosomal RNA
Source: RNAcentral